UUCCAGACUCCUACGGGAGGCAGCAGUGGGGAAUAUUGCACAAUGGGGGAAACCCUGAUGCAGCGACGCCGCGUGAGCGAUGAAGUAUUUCGGUAUGUAAAGCUCUCUCAGCAGGGAAGAAGAUGACGGUACCUGACUAAGAAGCCCCGGCUAACUACGUGCCAGCAGCCGCGGUAAUACGUAGGGGGCAAGCGUUAUCCGGAUUUACUGGGUGUAAAGGGAGCGUAGACGGCGAUGCAAGCCAGAUGUGAAAGCCCGGGGCUCAACCCCGGGACUGCAUUUGGAACUGUGUGGCUGGAGUGUCGGAGAGGCAGGCGGAAUUCCUAGUGUAGCGGUGAAAUGCGUAGAUAUUAGGAGGAACACCAGUGGCGAAGGCGGCCUGCUGGACGAUGACUGACGUUGAGGCUCGAAAGCGUGGGGAGCAAACAGGAUUAGAUACCCGAGUA
This 446-nucleotide ribosomal RNA is filed under the name uncultured bacterium. Its description in RNAcentral is "bacterial SSU rRNA". It matches the Rfam family "Bacterial small subunit ribosomal RNA", at positions 329 to 792 of the family's 1533-position model. The record is from RNAcentral.